Long non-coding RNA from Rhincodon typus (whale shark), 3277 nucleotides. RefSeq lists it as uncharacterized. The transcript is spliced from 4 exons. NCBI's taxonomy places the organism in Eukaryota, Metazoa, Chordata, Chondrichthyes, Orectolobiformes, Rhincodontidae. The record is from RefSeq and is a predicted model, not a curated record.
CACCUCACUUGGAACGCCUCGCUUGCGCGCCGCUCGUCGUUGAAGGCCGUUAACCCGGGGUGCGUUCUUGAACAAAAAGGCCUGGCGCCACAAAAGCGGGAACUCCAGAUCCUCCUCCCUGUCCACUGCAGUUGAAACUGACGCAGCAAAGGCUUUCUAAAGGGAAUGGGAAGAGUAACUGAAGAAAAAAAGCCUAGGCGAAGGGAGUAAGACUCGGUGUCUUGCCAGCAUAAACAGGACGACCCGAACGGCCUCUUUGUAUCUUACAAUCAGUUAAGUGAUUCUGCAACCUCAUCAAAAGAACUACUUUGAAGACGAGAGACCAACCUCUACAGCCAGCCACCACCUCGCAGUAAAACGCCUCCUCAUUUGUCCAUCUGAAAGGCGACGGUGACCGGCGGCCCCGCCCGCCCUCACUCACUCCGAUUGGUCGGAGGACCCGUCGCAUGCAAUUGGUCUUCCAGUAGUACAUCUGUUCCUAUUUGUGCUACUAUGCCGUCAAUCAGUCGUGUCUCGUUGUAAGGUCACUGGGGGCGGGGUUCACUGGUGCGGGGCGUGGCUGAGUGGAUGACAUCAUCACUUUGCGAAUAGAGCCGGAAGUUGAUCCCAGCUGCAGAGGAGCUAGAGAACUGAAGCCAGCUCUCGGAAACAGAGAGUAAACUGGGAGUGGAGGAAACUAAUGGUGGAGAUGAAUUUUUUUUUAGACAAGAUUGGAGCGAGAGUAUGUGGAACUGGGAUUUACAGCUUUGGGAGAACAUGAGUGGACAUGAUCACCGUAGAAACUGUAUUUGUCUAAUCUGGAUUUCCAUUCUACACUGGCAUUGUAAAUUCAUUCCACAUGGGAUUGCAAGGAAGGAGUGCUUCUAACAUAGAAUCCCUACAGUGUGGAAACAGGCCCUUCAGCCCAACAAGUCCACACUGACCCUUGGAGCAUCCCACCCAGACCCAUCCCCCUGUAACCCACCGCGAGGCUCAGACGAAACAUCGUAUCAGCAUCUGAUUGAAUCAUUCUGUUCAUCGGAGCCUGAAUGUUGUCAGCCUUUAAAUGUGAAAGGAGAAAUAUUCUAUCUUUGCUAAAAUACUUAAAACAUCAAUGUGACUGGAAAAGCACUGAAACACCCUGAGAGUGUUCCCGUGAAGUGAAUGAGUUUGCAACAAUUUUGCAGCCUGAAAUAAAUUGUCCAGUUUUCAGUGAGCAGAGACUGUACAGAUGUUUUGCUUGUAUGCAGAGACAAGGCUUCAAUUAAUUAUCCAACCUGGCGAGUCACAAGGAUACCUACAUGAUGGAGAACUGUGUGCAUGUGGAGAGUGUGGAAAGUGAUUCAAUUACCCUUUGAAUUGAUAUUCAUCAACACAGACACAUUGGAGAUAAACCAUUCAUGUGUCCUAAGUGUGGGCAAAAUAUUUGCUUACUCAUCCAUCCCCUAUAUAUACCAAAUGGUACACACUUGUAAGAGACAUUUUGCCAUUGUUGAAUGUCAGGAAUGAUCUGAUGCUUCAUCAAACCUCCUGAUCAGGUUCACUUUGAUCAGAGACCUUUUAAAUGUUUUGAUUGUGAGAAGAGCUUUAAAAGCAAACAGGAGCUGCUGAGACAUCAACACAUUCACACAGGAGUGACACCUCACACUUGCUGCAUUUGUGGAAAGGCAUUCACUCUGUCAUCCCAACUUCUGACACACCAACUUGUUCACACUGAUCAGUGACCUUGUCUGUGUUCUGACUGUGGGAAAUGUUUCAAAAGUAAAAAUGAUUUGCAAAUCCAUCAACGCAUUCACACUGGAGAAAGCCAGUCAUCUGAUCCCUGUGUGAGAGUAAAUUCAGGUGUUUAUCAGCAGGUUCACACUGAUAAAAGACCUUUAAAUUGUUCUGUUUGUGAGAAAGGCUUUAAAAGCAAACAAGAUCUGUUAACACAGCAGCAAGUUGACACUGGGGAGAGACCAGUCACCUGUUCCAUACAUGGAAGGAAUUCACUCGCUCAUCCUACUGUCUGAGACACCAGUGAGCUCACACUGGAAAGAGCCAUUCAUCUGCUUGUUUGUGGAAAAGGAUUCACUGAUUCGCCCUGAUACACCAGCAAAUUCACACUGGAGAGACCGUUCAUUUGCUCCAUAUGUGGGAAGGGAUUCGCUCAGCCAUCCCAGCUCAUUGACCACCAACUGGUUCACAGUGAUCAGAGACCUUCCAAAUGUGCUGACUGUGAAAAAAAGCCUUAAAAGCAGGAAGUAUCUGGUCACACACCAGUGAGUUCACACUGGGUGAAGCCAUUCACCUGUUCUAAGAGCAGGAAGGAAGUCAGUCAGUCAGUCAUCCCACCUGCUGAGCCAUCAGCAGCUUCACAUCAGAGAGAGAUUGUUCAUUUGCUCCAAGUGUGGGAAGAGAUUUGCUCAAUCGUCCAACUUGCUGAGAAAUCAGCACAUCCACAAGUGAUUGCUGGGUCAGAUUCUACAGUUGUGAUCAUAUUCAGCACUGAAUCACAUCCAGAACCGAGCCAAGGUCAUUAUGACAGGAACUAAGAAACAAAAGAUGUGCUUGGAGCAGAUGUGCUGCCGACUGAAGGAAACAAAACAGGGGACAGUGUUUGAUCACCGAAAAUGUGGAACUCGAUGCUGAGUCCAGGAAGCUAUAAAGUGUGGAGGAAGGAAGUUUCUCUGUGUCUAUACUGCCUUCAGGCAUCUAUUUGGGUUUUACUGGUUUGAACUGGGAGUGAUUCAGUUCCCACUGACCCAGCCCCAAUCCCAUCUCCUUGUCUGAGCAGUGAGAUGCCACCAAGAGAGAGACAGAGGGAGAGAGGAAGACAGAGAGAGAGAGACACUCCAGGCGAGAUUCCACACACAGACUGGCAGAGAGAAACUGAGGGAGACACGGAGAGAGACACAGAGAGAGCGAGAGACCGAGAGGGAUAGAGAAUGUGACUUUCUCCCAGUCUCUGUCUUCCUCUCCCUCUCGAUCUCUCUGUGUCUGUUCGUCUUUCUCUCUGUCUCCCUCCCUCCUUCUCAAUCUCUCACUCUCUACAGUCUCUCAGUGUCUGUACCGCCCUCAGGCAUCUGUUUGUGUUACACUGGUUUGAACUGGGAGCGAUCCAGUUCCCACUGACCCAGCCCCAAUCCCAGCACUGUGUCUGAGCCAGCAGCAGAUCACAGUGAGACGCCACCGAGAGAGAGACCGUGUGUGAAUAUGACUUUCUUCCAGUCUUUCUGUCUCCUUCCAUCUCUGUCUUUUUCUCUCUUGUCCCCAUUUCCCUCUUCCCCUCUAUUCUCUCUCUCUUCCCCUCUAUUCU